This 5572-nucleotide long non-coding RNA is filed under the name Chlamydomonas reinhardtii. Its description in RNAcentral is "long non-coding RNA (CREI_LNC000738)". Lineage: Eukaryota; Viridiplantae; Chlorophyta; Chlorophyceae; Chlamydomonadales; Chlamydomonadaceae. The record is from RNAcentral.
CUCGGUCGCGAAAUUGCCGGUCUGCAGAGCCUCACAUUUUGCCCCGGGAUACAUUCCAAUGCAAUAUUAGGUAUCUAAAUAACAUAUUGAGUGAGUUACUGCUCUCUCCAGCACACUUUGGCCCGAUCGGACCGACACGCGUGUGGCAAGCAAAACCCACCACACACACAAGGUGUACACACACAAAAAUUAAAACUUUUGGUGCGGUGUGUAUGGAGGGGCCAAGGACCUUAUAACCCGCCUGUCACGCGUGUGGGGACGGAGUGACAAGCCUGCGCAGCACUGCUUCCACUGCAACGGUCUCGUUCUGUGUUGGCUCCGGUGUUAUAAGACUGUAUUGAUGAGGCCAAGGUAGACCAGAGAGUUAUCGAGAUAAGGAGGAGAAAUCGAGACUAAUCGAGAUGCGGAAGCGUAGCGGAAUGUUACGGGGAAGGUACCAAGCACGGGAACCACCUGCGUGUCAACGGCUGACACGAAAACCGCCUAAGCCGUGCCUUCAGCCAACCCGGGGAAAAUGGCUGGAGAGAGAGGGAGAAAGGAGCCGUGCUGCCGAGCUGGGGUUCGCUGGUCUUAGGCACUAAGGCUGGCGCGCAGGGGCGCGAGGGGAAACCAAGGGAGGCUGGCGCACAAGGGCGCAAAGGGAAGCCAAGGAGAAGCUGGCGCACAGUGGCGCAAGAGGCGAAAGGGCCAAGUAAGCCAAGCAUAUGACUUACAGAGGGGAGGCAGGGGUCGGGAUCGACCAGGUACUCAGAGCGUGUGUCUGGUAUGAUCAGCCUAGCCCAAACUCCGCCUUAUAUAGCCCCCUAGCGGGGUCACUGUACGGCAUCUAGUCAACGUACGACACGACCCUUUGACCAGGCCGGUCCAGGCCGGUCAGGCCGGUCAAGGCCAACACGCGAUGCACGGGACCUCUCACGUGCCAUGGCACGUGCACAGGCUAGCCGCGGCCAUGCAACCCCGCACGUGCCCCAGGCACACUGCACGCGCACACCGCAACCUUCAUGCAUGCGACCACUACAUCGCCCACAUAUACAUGGGCUAACCUAGUAUACAACCCAUCAUACCUCGCAAAUCCAUGCGGACCAAGCACUCCAUCUCACGUGGAGGCGAAACACACACGCCACGCACCGUGGCACCCCCCUUCAACCCCCGCGAGCAGAUGCGUCCUGACGCUUAGCGCGUGACCCCCACGUAUGCUCACCACAGCUGUGGCAAGUUCCCCUGCGAACGCCCGUGACCCUACGGGCUAUGAGGUCACGCGCUAGCACACAAACCCUUCAACUUGUAUUAUCAGUUGCACGCGCGGAAGUCCCCAGGAAUGUCCUCCACGGCGGCGGGUCUUUGGGCUUGGCCUUCGGGCUUUAGUCUUGACCUUGGGUCACGACUUGGGGUUCUUGAACUUGAGAAAGGGGGUCUCAGGCUCGAUCUUGGGCCUUAGUGCCCGUCGCCACGGCGGGGAGGCCCGUAGCCGGGUGGCCACCACAGGGGGUCGCGGUUGACUGAGUAAUGCCCCUUAGUGAUGCCCCUUAGUGAUGCCUCGUUGUGAUGCACCUUGGUGAUGUCCCUUUGCGAUGUCAAAUUAUCAUAGCAUGAUAUACAGGAGGCACGAUAAAGGUGGAGAGGUGCACCGUAAGGGAACGAACGACAAGGGCCGUACCCCACGGCCGUACCGGUUGCAGAUCCUGGGCGAGUCUCCCGGAUUCCCGGAUAUUCAUAGCACCUGCCUCCAUGUACGCCAAUGUGAACCCAGCUUCGCGAUGCAGGUCGCCUGCUUGCCGUGCUUGCUUGCAUCCCGGCGCCCGGCGGGCUUUAAGAGCGGUCGCCUACGCCAGGGCAGCCCUGAUCCGCGCUUUCUGACUGCCAAUACUUCUUUUGGCUGUCUUUCUUUCCUUUUUCGCCAUUCUGAUCUCUUUCCGACACCUCAGGAGGGGCACCGACACACAUCACGCACGAAGUGUCGCGCUUGUCGCGGCCCAUCACCCUGGCCUGAGUAUUAGCAGAGAAUGAUAAGAUAGGAUGAGCGCUAGGCGCCCGAACGGGGUGUUCCUCGUCGGCAGCUUCAUCGGUGCCGACUUCGGUCUUGCGGAACGACAUAAGAGGCGUGUCGGGAGGCAACACAUCUUCUUGGCAUGGAAACUUCUUGUCGGGCUCUCCUGACAGUGAGUUGGUUCCGGGCUCACUCCAGUCGCCAGCAGGGGCGCGCAGGCCUGGGGUGGAGGGCUCGCCUGGCAAGGCUAGGCCGCUGGCGCCCGAUGACCGUAGCUCGGCUUCAGACGUGUGCUCAUGCGGACGCUCCGUGUUCAACGUAGAAUGGCCUUCCGGUAGCGGGGUCAUGGGGAUAGCGGACGGAAUGGCACGGGGCAAGCCGGUCAUGGUCUCGUGGGGGUCUUCAACACUAACAACUGCCUUGCGCGGCAGGAAUGCCAGGGCGGUGCUAGGCUCUCUAGCUUUACGGAAGAGCACAUCCUCUUGCAACUCGUAAAGCGCUGCCCGGCGUUGCACGCGGUCCGACUCACACAGGGCGACGCCGCGAUCCAACGUGCCGCAUGAUAACUCAAGUGGGGCUUUCCCCGUCCUCAGGAACUUUAUCAACGCGAUGUCGGACCAAGGGUCCGCACUACCCUUCGAGGCGGCUGGUAUCAAGGCCACUUCGUCCACAUGGCUGACAUGCGCGUCAUCUCUUCUUCCAUGAACCACCGGCCCGUCGUCUCGGGUAACGCAAGGUGCGUAAGGCAGUGGGCACAACUGAAACGGCUCCAGUGGCACAGGGUCGUCAGAAACAAACAGGAAAGGGGGCUCCGAGCACGUGGCGGGCUGGCGGGUAUCGCAGAGGGGUUGGCACCGCAACGCCGGGCCGCCGGCAUCAAACUCAUCCAUGGACACCGGGGUUGGCAAGCGGCCAGCAUGAAGGUCAUAACUCUCACACAGACAUGCGCUGCCCUCUGAACCGUCCGCAGGGUCGGUACCUGGCUCCAUCACUAUCGCAUUCCGCCUGGCCUGGUCCGCCUGAACUUCUGGACCUGAACCGCCGGGUAGGUCCGGUGGCAGGGCCCCGGGGCCGGGGGUGGACUCACAACGAAGAAGGGUAUUGCGGGGGUCGGGACGCCCCACACUAUGGCUCGAGUGUGAUGUCGCAACACCACGGGUCUCGGCAGGUCGGGGCUUCACCACGGCGGAAGGGGAUUCCGCACUCAUGGUCUCGCACAAGGAGGCUUCCGGAUGCAGGCAGGGCAUUCCACGCACAGCGGCGCCAUCAUGCUUGCAGUAGAUGGCGUGGGAUUCGUACGCAGCCGCAGGGGUCGCGGCCCGUUCCCCUGCUGAGCUGGUUGCCCGGGGAGCUAAGGUCUUAUCUCGAAAUGCUGCAGGGCCACGGUCGCGGGCUGCAACCGGAGGGAGGCUACUGGGAGCGGAGGCCGGCGCACCGUCUACUGGUGAUAGGGCGAGGAGCGCUUCUGUGGGCAGGGCAGCGGCAGGCCCCGCGCCUCUAGCGGUAAAAUUUGUGGGCAUGGCGGCACGGGGCUCACGAUGCGGAACGGCGCGCGCGACACAUGCAGCCGGGGUGCAUGUAGUUGAGGCGGGCCUGGUAUCAUGCGGCGGGGGAAACUUUCGCACGGCGCCGCAAGCAACAACCUUAGGCAAUGCAGGCUGGAUGCGCUCGCGGGACAGGGUAGCGCCUUCGCAGGCACGCUGCGUGUGGGCGGGCAGACAGGUGUCAUGCGCUAACUCGAACAGGUUGGCUUGGGGCGAAGCGUCAUAGGCUUGGGUUCUGGUUGAGCCUCGGGUCAGCUCAUGCAAAUUGACGGCAAAUCGUGCAAUUUGCUUCUGCAGAUGAUCGAGGCAGCAGCCGUCGCAGCGGGCUGGGGGCCGUGGCGGGGCCGGCGCUCAUGCCGACGGUCUUCAUGGUGGCCGCCUGCAGUUGCCCCGUCGUAGCGGAGAGCCUCAAACUUAGAGCAACGCUCGAUAAAGGUGCCAUUGGUGGGCAGGCGCUCUUGCCAUGUGACACGGUCUUGGUCAUACUCACCAGGGGCCGUAUCCCGCAUGAGGCCAACACCGGCCUCCCUAACGUAGAUUGCGUUGGUUAUUGCAUCAUCCAAAUUAGCGGGCCGCAUGAGGUAAACCUGCUGGUAGACAUCGGGAUGUAGGCCACGAAGGAAGCUGUACAUGUAAGUGGGGUCGCAGGCCGGGUUGAUGUUAAGCUGGGCCACCAGACUGCGGUAGCGGUCGGCAUACCGGCGGACACUUUCAUUCCGACCCUGUCGACAGUUGGAUAGGCGAUUGAAUAAUUCUUCCAGGCCGGGCGCAAAGCGCUCAAGGAACAUGGCACGGAACUCGGGCCAAUCCCGCAUGUCACCAUCAAUGCCUGAUUCCCAGGUCUGCGCAUCGCCUGACAGGCGGCAGCGUGCGACAAGCAACUUGUCGACAUUGGACCAUUGGAAUACACGAGCGUGACGCUCAAUCUUAUCAAGCCAUUGGCGGGGAUCGUCCUGCCGGGGGUCGAAGAUAGGGAUAGAGUUGAGGCUAGACGGGGUGACACCGAAGUGCUCGUCGGCCAUGCUGACGGAAGCAGGGGUAGAGGUGAAAGUAGACGUGGCGCGAGAUUGCGGCUGCGGCUUAGAGUCUCACACGGCGUAGUUUGCCGGGUGGUGUUUGAGGUGGCUUAGAGAGAAACCAGGGAGCCGGAAGUAAUUAACCAGGAAGUAGAUGGAGAACGACGGGAAUUAUCAAUUAGAAGAUGGUUGGGCCCAGAUGGCCGGUUUUGUGAGAGGCACAGGCGUGUGCGUCACGGUGCGGGGCCGGAGCAAGAGACCUGCACAGUGAGUUUUAGGUUGAGAUAGAACCCAACCGGAGAGACGAUAGAGGUGGAGGAGAAAGAUACCAAGGGAGAAGAUAGAGGAGGAGUAGGGAGGCACCAACCGAAGGUUGGGGCAGGGCUUAGAUAGCCGUUUUUGUGAGAGGCACAGGCGUGUGCGUCACGGAGUGCGGGGCCGGAUGAUAGGUCUGCACAAGGAGCUGAGAACGAGACCGGGUUUCCCCGCGUCUCGAUACCACAAAACCCACCACACACACAAGGUGUACACACACAAAAAUUAAAACUUUUGGUGCGGUGUGUAUGGAGGGGCCAAGGACCUUAUAACCCGCCUGUCACGCGUGUGGGGACGGAGUGACAAGCCUGCGCAGCACUGCUUCCACUGCAACGGUCUCGUUCUGUGUUGGCUCCGGUGUUAUAAGACUGUAUUGAUGAGGCCAAGGUAGACCAGAGAGUUAUCGAGAUAAGGAGGAGAAAUCGAGACUAAUCGAGAUGCGGAAGCGUAGCGGAAUGUUACGGGGAAGGUACCAAGCACGGGAACCACCUGCGUGUCAACGGCUGACACGAAAACCGCCUAAGCCGUGCCUUCAGCCAACCCGGGGAAAAGGGCUGGAGAGAGAGGGAGAAAGGAGCCGUGCUGCCGAGCUGGGGUUCGCUGGUCUUAGGCACUAAGGCUGGCGCGCAGGGGCGCGAGGGGAAACCAAGGGAGGCUGGCGCACAAGGGCGCAAAGGGAAGCCAAGGAGAAGCUGGCGCACAGUGGCGCA